RNAcentral lists this ribosomal RNA (496 nucleotides) under uncultured bacterium. Its description in RNAcentral is "partial 16S ribosomal RNA". It matches the Rfam family "Bacterial small subunit ribosomal RNA", at positions 29 to 523 of the family's 1533-position model. The record is from RNAcentral.
AUUGAACGCUGGCGGCAUGCUUUACACAUGCAAGUCGAACGGUAGAGGGGGCAACCCCUUGAGAGUGGCGAACGGGUGAGUAAUGCAUCGGAACGUGCCCAGUCGUGGGGGAUAGCCCGGGGAAACCCGGAUUAAUACCGCAUACGACCUGAGGGUGAAAGCGGGGGACCGAAAGGCCUCGCGCGAUUGGAGCGGCCGAUGUCGGAUUAGGUAGUUGGUGGGGUAAAGGCCUACCAAGCCUGCGAUCCGUAGCUGGUCUGAGAGGACGACCAGCCACACUGGGACUGAGACACGGCCCAGACUCCUACGGGAGGCAGCAGUGGGGAAUUUUGGACAAUGGGCGCAAGCCUGAUCCAGCCAUGCCGCGUGCGGGAAGAAGGCCUUCGGGUUGUAAACCGCUUUUGUCAGGGAAGAAAUCCUUUGGACUAAUACUCUGGGGGGAUGACGGUACCUGAAGAAUAAGCACCGGCUAACUACGUGCCAGCCGCCGCAGUAA